RNAcentral lists this ribosomal RNA (264 nucleotides) under uncultured bacterium. Its description in RNAcentral is "partial 16S ribosomal RNA". It matches the Rfam family "Bacterial small subunit ribosomal RNA", at positions 9 to 304 of the family's 1533-position model. The record is from RNAcentral.
GAGUUUGAUCUUGGCUCAGGACGAACGCUGGCGGCAGGCUUAACACAUGCAAGUCGAACGCCCCGCAAGGGGAGUGGCAGACGGGUGAGUAACGCGUGGGAACGUACCCUUUACUACGGAAUAACUCAAGGAAACUUGUGCUAAUACCGUAUGUGCCCUUCGGGGGAAAGAUUUAUCGGUAAAGGAUCGGCCGCGUUGGAUUAGCUAGUUGGUGGGGUAAAGGCCUACCAAGGCGACGAUCCAUAGCUGGCCUGAGAGGAUGAU